AUUGAACGCUGGCGGCAGGCUUAACACAUGCAAGUCGAACGGUAGCAGGAGAAAGCUUGCUUUCUUGCUGACGAGUGGCGGACGGGUGAGUAAUGCUUGGGAAUCUGGCUUAUGGAGGGGGAUAACGACGGGAAACUGUCGCUAAUACCGCGUAUUAUCGGAAGAUGAAAGUGCGGGACUGAGAGGCCGCAUGCCAUAGGAUGAGCCCAAGUGGGAUUAGGUAGUUGGUGGGGUAAAUGCCUACCAAGCCUGCGAUCUCUAGCUGGUCUGAGAGGAUGACCAGCCACACUGGAACUGAGACACGGUCCAGACUCCUACGGGAGGCAGCAGUGGGGAAUAUUGCGCAAUGGGGGGAACCCUGACGCAGCCAUGCCGCGUGAAUGAUGAAGGCCUUAGGGUUGUAAAGCUCUUUCAGCUGGGAAGAUAAUGACGGUACCAGCAGAAGAAGCCCCGGCUAACUCCGUGCCAGCAGCCGCGGUAAUACGGAGGGGGCUAGCGUUGUUCGGAAUUACUGGGCGUAAAGCGCACGUAGGCGGACCAGAAAGUUGGGGGUGAAAUCCCGGGGCUCAACCCCGGAACUGCCUUCAAAACUAUUGGUCUGGAGUUCGAGAGAGGUGAGUGGAAUUCCGAGUGUAGAGGUGAAAUUCGUAGAUAUUCGGAGGAACACCAGUGGCGAAGGCGGCUCACUGGCUCGAUACUGACGCUGAGGUGCGAAAGCGUGGGGAGCAAACAG
RNAcentral lists this ribosomal RNA (733 nucleotides) under uncultured Streptococcus sp. RNAcentral's name for it is "bacterial SSU rRNA". It matches the Rfam family "Bacterial small subunit ribosomal RNA", at positions 28 to 775 of the family's 1533-position model. The record is from RNAcentral. Lineage: Bacteria; Bacillati; Bacillota; Bacilli; Lactobacillales; Streptococcaceae.